AUUUUCAAAUUGUUUUUGGAAACACUGGACGUCGUGUCCUCCGGACCAAAGAGGAAGCGGACCAUCCGGACUGUUAUCAACGCAAAGUUCAAAAGCCAGCAUCUGUGAUGGUAUGGGGGUGCAUUAGUUCCCAUGGCAUAGGUGACUUACAUUUCUGUGAA
Syngnathus acus (greater pipefish) is the source of this 161-nucleotide long non-coding RNA. RefSeq lists it as uncharacterized. The transcript has 3 exons. The record is from RefSeq and is a predicted model, not a curated record. Lineage: Eukaryota; Metazoa; Chordata; Actinopteri; Syngnathiformes; Syngnathidae.